CGGAAUUACUGGGCGUAAAGCGAGCGCAGGCGGUUAUUUAAGUCAGGUGUGAAAGCCCCGAGCUCAACUUGGGACGUGCAUUUGAAACUGGGUAACUAGAGUGUGUCAGAGGGGGGUAGAAUUCCACGUGUAGCAGUGAAAUGCGUAGAGAUGUGGAGGAAUACCGAUGGCGAAGGCAGCCCCCUGGGAUAACACUGACGCUCAUGCUCGAAAGCGUGGGUAGCAAACAGGAUUAGAUACCCUGGUAGUCCACGCCCUAAACGAUGACAAUUAGCUGUUGGGAGAUUAAAAGCUCUUGGUAGCGUAGCUAACGCGUGAAAUUGUCCGCCUGGGGAGUACGGUCGCAAGAUUAAAACUCAAAGGAAUUGACGGGGACCCGCACAAGCGGUGGAUGAUGUGGAUUAAUUCGAUGCAACGCGAAGAACCUUACCUGGUCUUGACAUGUACGGAAUCCUCCAGAGACGGAGGAGUGCCUUCGGGAACCGUAACACAGGUGCUGCAUGGCUGUCGUCAGCUCGUGUCGUGAGAUGUUGGGUUAAGUCCCGCAACGAGCGCAACCCUUGUCAUUAGUUGCUACCAUUCAGUUGAGCACUCUAAUGAGACUGCCGGUGACAAACCGGAGGAAGGUGGGGAUGACGUCAAGUCCUCAUGGCCCUUAUGACCAGGGCUUCACACGUCAUACAAUGGUCGGUACAGAGGGUAGCCAAGC
Molecule: ribosomal RNA, 709 nt
Filed under: uncultured Pseudomonadota bacterium
Lineage: Bacteria; Pseudomonadati; Pseudomonadota
Description: bacterial SSU rRNA
Rfam family: Bacterial small subunit ribosomal RNA
Source: RNAcentral